CCUACGGGCGGCAGCAGUGAGGAAUAUUGGUCAAUGGGCGCGAGCCUGAACCAGCCAAGUAGCGUGAAGGAUGACUGCCCUACGGGUUGUAAACUUCUUUUAUAAAGGAAUAAAGUGAGGCACGUGUGCCUUUUUGUAUGUACUUUAUGAAUAAGGAUCGGCUAACUCCGUGCCAGCAGCCGCGGUAAUACGGAGGAUCCGAGCGUUAUCCGGAUUUAUUGGGUUUAAAGGGAGCGUAGAUGGGUUGUUAAGUCAGUUGUGAAAGUUUGCGGCUCAACCGUAAAAUUGCAAUUGAUACUGGCAGUCCUGAGUACAGUUGAGGUAGGCGGAAUUCGUGGUGUAGCGGUGAAAUGCUUAGAUAUUAGGAGGAACACCAGUGGCGAAGGCGGCCUGCUGGGCUUUUACUGACGCUGAGGCUCGAAAGUGUGGGGAGCAAACAGGAUUAGAUACCCCGGUAGUC
Molecule: ribosomal RNA, 460 nt
Filed under: uncultured bacterium
Lineage: Bacteria
Description: partial 16S ribosomal RNA
Rfam family: Bacterial small subunit ribosomal RNA
Source: RNAcentral